RNAcentral lists this transfer RNA (35 nucleotides) under Aphanostephus ramosissimus. RNAcentral's name for it is "partial tRNA-Ala". Lineage: Eukaryota; Viridiplantae; Streptophyta; Magnoliopsida; Asterales; Asteraceae. The record is from RNAcentral.
UGAGAGGCGGUGGUUUACCCUGCGGCGGAUGUCAG